UCCCCUAAAACUCCCAUUUGUAUAUGGAAAAUUGAGUGUGUUAGGGUUCUAGAUCCAAGAGUAAAGCAGGUAAAUGGUAAUGCAUUUUUCUUUGAUUCUCCCCCUCUUUGUUGAGCUAGCUUUAGCUAUAUAAUGCUGACUGAGAAGUUAUAUCUUAGUGUAUACGUAUGUAUGUGGUAAGAUAAAUUAUUACAGAGAGGAGGACGGAAGAAGAUGGUGCAGAAAUGGGUUAAAAUAGGAUUUUUUUAAUCCAAAACUUGGAAGGGGGGGGAGGGAUUUGCAGGGUUGUUCUGCAGAACAAAAUUUGUUUCUAUUUUUACCCAUUAGUGGAGCUCAAACCAUGUGGUUAU
Molecule: long non-coding RNA, 350 nt
Filed under: Panax ginseng (ginseng)
Lineage: Eukaryota; Viridiplantae; Streptophyta; Magnoliopsida; Apiales; Araliaceae
Description: long non-coding RNA (PGIN_LNC015546)
Source: RNAcentral